RNAcentral lists this ribosomal RNA (381 nucleotides) under uncultured marine Chaetocerotaceae. Its description in RNAcentral is "SSU rRNA". It matches the Rfam family "Eukaryotic small subunit ribosomal RNA", at positions 587 to 972 of the family's 1831-position model. The record is from RNAcentral. Lineage: Eukaryota; Bacillariophyta; Thalassiosirophyceae; Chaetocerotales; Chaetocerotaceae.
AGCUCCAAUAGCGUAUAUUAAAGUUGCUGCAGUUAAAAAGCUCGUAGUUGCAUUUCCGAGGCAAGGGAUUAGUCCGACCUUUGGUGGGUAUUUAAUCCUCUUGCCUCGUCCUUGAGUGGUGCUUCUUGGUAUUAAGUUAUCGAGGAGAUAGCCGCUCAUCGUUUACUGUGAGAAAAUUAGAGUGUUCAAAGCAGGCUUAUGCCGUUGAAUAUAUUAGCAUGGAAUAAUAAGAUAGGACCUCGGUACUAUUUUGUUGGUUUGAGAACCAAGGUAAUGAUGAAUAGGGACAGUUGGGAGUAUUCGUAUUCAGUUGCCAGAGGUGAAAUUCUUAGAUUUACGGAAGACGAACUACUGCGAAAGCAUUUACCAAGGAUGUUUUCA